RNAcentral lists this long non-coding RNA (401 nucleotides) under Prunus persica (peach). RNAcentral's name for it is "long non-coding RNA (PPER_LNC008143)". The record is from RNAcentral. Lineage: Eukaryota; Viridiplantae; Streptophyta; Magnoliopsida; Rosales; Rosaceae.
UUGAGGUUCCAACCCAAAACCAAUUGGCAAUGGGGGAGUAACCCAACUCCUUAUAAGCCCUUGCAAGGUUUUUUUUUUCUAACUUUCCAAUGUGGGACUCUUUUACCAUCACAUUCUCACACGCCCCCACACGUAUGGCGAAUUUUCAAGCCUAACACGUGGACAACACAUUUUGGGUGACGUGGAGCACGUGUGGCCGUUGGGCUUUCACACGUGGGCUAACCCGCUCUGAUACCAUGAAGGAAGUUGAGGUUCCACCCCAAAACCAAUUGGCAAUGGGGGGAGUAACUCAACUCCUUAUAAGCCCUUGCUAGGUUUCUCAACUUUCCAAUAUGGGACUCUUUACCUUCACAUUCUCACACGUCUCCGCAUAUGUGGCGAAUUUUCAAGCUUAACACGUG